AUGUGUGUUUUCAGCUUGCCUAAGGGAAUUUGUAAAGAGAUCACGGAUGCUAUUGCACAAUUCUGGUGGGGUGAUGAUAAGGAGACCAAAAAAAUGCAUUGGAUGACGUGGUGGAAGUUGUGUAUCCCUAAGAGUGAAGGAGGCAUGGGGUUCCGUGACCUCUACUCUUUUAACUUGACAAUGUUGUCCAAGCAAUGUUGGAGGUUGAUCAAUGACCUGCAUUCUUUGGUUGCGAGAGUUCUCAAGGCAAAAUAUUACCCAAAUGGUUCCCUCAUUGAUGCUACACCAAAAAAUGGGUCGUCCUUCACAUGGCAGAGUAUUUUGAAGGGGUUGAAAACUUUUAAGAAAGGAUACCUUUGA
This 360-nucleotide ribosomal RNA is filed under the name Triticum aestivum (bread wheat). RNAcentral describes it as "partial small subunit ribosomal RNA". The record is from RNAcentral. Lineage: Eukaryota; Viridiplantae; Streptophyta; Magnoliopsida; Poales; Poaceae.